Molecule: long non-coding RNA, 334 nt
Filed under: Lathyrus oleraceus (garden pea)
Lineage: Eukaryota; Viridiplantae; Streptophyta; Magnoliopsida; Fabales; Fabaceae
Description: Pisum sativum (pea) long non-coding RNA (PSAT_LNC010541)
Source: RNAcentral
UCACCAUUAAUCCUUCCAUUUUCAUAUUUCUUUUUCUUAUUUAAAAUAUUUUCUUCGUCCAUAAAAUUACCCAAAAAUAUUUUUCACUUUUCUUAACGUUUUACUUAAUUUUAUAUAAUUUUUAUUUUCGUAUUUUUUUAAUAUUAAUAUUUUAUUUUAAUUAUUUUUUCUAAAUGGUCCAUUUUAACACACUUUUUUUUAUUGAUUUUAUUUUUAUGACUUAAAAUUAUUGUUAGCAUUUGAUUUUUGGGAUAGAGGUUGAACACUGUCUCAUGAUCAACCUGACCUUUUCUUGGAAUUUUAUUUCGCAUUUUCAAUUUAUUUUGGAUUUAUU